CCAAAGCCGGCUGCGAGGGCGGAGCGGCCCCAGCUAUGGAGCGUGCUCGGCUCCGACGAGGGUCUUGCACGCGGUGACUUUUUGCCUGAUCUGAGAACCAAGAGGUGGGCCAAGAGUGAGAUUUAGUGGAGCUAUUGAUGCUAUUUAUGGUGAGAGUUGGACCAUAAAGAAGGCUGAGCACUGAAGAAUUGAUGCUUUUGAACUGUGGUGAUGGAGAAGACUCUUGGAAGUCCCUUGGACAGCAAGGAGAUCAAACCAA
Bubalus bubalis (water buffalo) is the source of this 259-nucleotide long non-coding RNA. RefSeq lists it as uncharacterized. The record is from RefSeq and is a predicted model, not a curated record. Lineage: Eukaryota; Metazoa; Chordata; Mammalia; Artiodactyla; Bovidae. The transcript has 2 exons.